AAGUCGUAACAAGGUAUCCGUAGGUGAACCUGCGGAUGGAUCAUUAAGAGGUUAGCAAACAUCCGUUUGACAAACCACUGUGGUACGAUGCAUGUUGUUUUGGCGGCGUGGUGUGCGUGCAAGCGCGCAUGCGCCGCCAGCAUACAAACCCAAUCAACAAUUUUAUACUACUCAGCUGUUCUGAUUACACUAUUUCGAUAGCAUAAUCCUAUACAACUGCUAGCAACGGAUCACUCGGCUCUC
This 243-nucleotide unclassified non-coding RNA is filed under the name fungal sp. RNAcentral describes it as "partial internal transcribed spacer region". The stretch from base 1 to 46 matches the Rfam family "Eukaryotic small subunit ribosomal RNA", at positions 1786 to 1831 of the family's 1831-position model. The record is from RNAcentral. Lineage: Eukaryota; Fungi.